RNAcentral lists this long non-coding RNA (2502 nucleotides) under Hordeum vulgare. RNAcentral's name for it is "long non-coding RNA (HVUL_LNC001300)". The record is from RNAcentral. Lineage: Eukaryota; Viridiplantae; Streptophyta; Magnoliopsida; Poales; Poaceae.
CAUGAUCGAGGACGUGGGCAUGUGGCUUUGCGCUCCGCUCCUAUCUGCCCUAUAAAUAGUUGAAGCCUCACCCACGCCGGCGGCUGGCGGAUCCAUCUCACAUUCAAUCCAUCCACCGGCAAGCAGUUCAUCCAUCCCCGACGAGAGUUCAUCACUCAAGCACUUCUCAUACGCUCGUCCGCGUACGCGCCGUCGGUGGUUCGUCUCGUCGUCAUCGUCGUUGCAGCCGCUGGCCGUUCGUCCUCGUCGUCGCUGGUCACGCCGCUCCUCGUCGGCCACACACAUCGCCGGCUGCUCGUCGUCCGCGCCACUCAUCAUCGACAUCGUCGGGUGUCCAUCAUCUGAAUCGUUCGCAAGCUGCUCCACGCCGGCGGCUGUUCAUCUACAUCACCACUUCACACAUACGGGAGGACAUUCAAGAGAAGGUGGGAUACUAUGUUGCCCUCAUGCCCUUAGUUUCAUCCGCUUGGUUCGGAUCAAGGAGUUUUUUCUUCGUACACAUGAAACUUUGUCCUUAGUUUCGUUCGUUUGGUUCGGAUCAAGGAGUCAUCUCUUUUCAUAGAUCAAAGCAUAUCCUUAGGUUCGGCCAUUUGGUUCGGAUCAAGGAACAUAAAAUUUACCAAAUCAUGUUCUUAGAUUCGGCCUUUUGGUUCAAAUCAAGGAACAUAUAACUCAUCAAGUCAUGCCCUUAGAUUCGGCCUCGUGGUUCGGAUCAAGGAUCUACUUUUUUCUUCGCGUGGACAUGCCAUGUGUGAAAAAAAUCAUAAAAUGCAAGGAGUCAUCUCUUCUCAUAGAUCAAAGCAUAUCCUUAGGUUCAGCCGUUUGGUUCGGAUCAAGGAACAUAAAAUUCAUCAAAUCAUGUCCUUAGGUUCGGCUGUUUGGUUCGCAUCCAGGAACAUAAAAUCUACCAAAUCAUGUCCUUAUGUUCGGUCGUUUGGUUCGGAUCAAGGACCUUAGAAUCCACCAGAUCAUGUCCUUAGGUUCGGCCGUUUGGUUCGGAUCAAGGAACAUAAAAUCCACCAAAUCAUGUCCUUAGGUUCGGCCGUUUGGUUCGGAUCAAGGAACAUAAAAUCAACCAAAUCAUGUCCUUAGGUUCGUUCGUUUGGUUCGGAUCAAGAAACAUAAAAUUCACCAAAUCAUGUCCUUAGAUUCGGCCGUUUGGUUCAGAUCAAGGAACAUAAAAUUCACCAAAUCAUGUCCUUAGGUUCGUCCGUUUGGUUCGGAUCAAUGAAAUAAAAUUCACCAAAUCAUGUCCUUAGGUUCGGCCUUUUGGUUCGGAUCAAAGAACAUAUAACUCAUCAAAUCACGCCCUUAGGUUCGGCCUUGUGGUUCCGAUCAAGGACGUACUUUUUUUCUUCACGUGGACAUGCCAUGUGUGCAAAAAUUCAUAAAAUGCUCUACGCUUGGGUUUCUUACAUUUGAAUUCCAUGACAUGAAAGUACAUUUCAUGCAUGGGUUCUUUCUCACGAAUUCCAUGACGCGGGCCAUAAAAUGACCAAGCCAUGAGCCAAAGAAAAUACACAAUUACGCUAUGUCAUGUGUUCUUCUCAUAUGAAUUCCAUGGCAUAAGUCAUAAAACCAAAGAAAAUACAAAUUAUGCUAUGUCAUGGGUUCUUCUCAUAUGAAUUCCAUGACAUAAGUCAUAAAAUAAAGGAAAUACAUAGUAUCUUAUGUCAUGGGUUCCUUCAUACGAAUUCCACGGCAUAAGUUACAAGUUGACAAAAUAUAUAAAUAUCUUAUGGCAUGGAUUCUUCCAUACGAAUUCCGUGUCAUGAGCCAUAAAAUAAUAAAAUCACGCUAUGACAUGGGUUCUCUCAUGCGAAUUCCAUGGCAUACAACAUCCAUAUAACAAAUACACAAUUACGGCACGUCAUGGGUUCUUCAAAAUAAAUUCCAUGGCAUAAGCCAUCAACCAAAUAGAACAACAAUUAUGCUUCAAGCAGGAGUUCUGUGAAAUGAAUUCCAUGACAUGAGCGUUAAAUAUUAAAAAUGCAUGGAUGCAUCCUAUGCCUGAAAAGAGGAGGCCAAAUCAAGCUUGGACCAAAUCAACCUUCAUUUUAAAUCAUAACAUAAAUGAAGUUGAGCACAAACAAAAUAAUUGCAUGAUAAAGAAAUAUAUGGCAAACCAUCAAACAUAACGGCGUCGAAGAUAAUCAACGCACAUAAACUUGAAGUUCCGAGGCCGGAGUUCAACGUCGAUCGCGAGGAGGAUUUUUCUUGUAGCAUAUUGUAAUAGGAAUGUGUUGCAAUCUCAUGUAAUAGAUAUGUUGGAAUUCUUAAUCAGGGGUUUUCUCUUCGGAGAUGUAAUUAACAGAAUUUUUAUGUAAAUAUAAGAAUUCUGGAAAUAUGUACCUCAAUGUUUGAUCUUUAUUUUGUAUAUUGUAUGCGCUAUAUUUUAUUCACUCUGUAUCAACGACGUGGACGCGUGUUUUCACGCCUCGCCAUUUUCUCGUCAUCAGGAACAAGUAAGUUUAUUCUUAUAAAGAGAUUUAUAAAUCAUUU